Phyllostomus discolor (pale spear-nosed bat) is the source of this 828-nucleotide long non-coding RNA. RefSeq lists it as uncharacterized. The record is from RefSeq and is a predicted model, not a curated record. Lineage: Eukaryota; Metazoa; Chordata; Mammalia; Chiroptera; Phyllostomidae. The transcript has 3 exons.
AAAUUAAAGGGGCAUGGAAAAGAAAAACAAGAAAACUAACACUGAAGCAAUCAUACUUCUCAUGUCUCUGGAUAGAGAAGUAUAGUAUGGGUUACCUUUAGGCAAAGCAAAUUAAAAGUAUGCAAGUUAACUAAUUCAUGGUUAAAUAGACUUGUUCACUUAAGGCUUUAACCACUUUCCAAAUCAACAACUAUCUUAAUCCAGCUAUGCUUUCUCAUAAAUGAGAGCCAUGCUCACUCCAGACUCAUACCCCACUGAGCCUCUGCAUUUGGUACACGGCAGUGAAAAAAUAUGCUUUCCCAAUAGCACUGAAGACAUUGUUAACAAUGAGAAAUCCAACUAAAGAGCAAUGCUCUCUCACCCCAAAAAUGUUAUUCACACUUCCCUUCCUUCACAUUAUAAGCAAGAAACCACUGAAUUCAAUCCUCUGCAAAUAAGCACCAUCGUCACAAUUUUCAACUUUGAAGAAACUCCCUCUAAUUUUUCACUAAAGAAAAAAUGAAUGAAGAUAUCCUCCUCUCUUAAGACUAUCUCCGAUCCCAUCACCUUUUACUGCAAGGGUAGAAAACUGGCUAAGAUCAUGAAAAUCCAAUGUCACACAUGGCAUUAAUAAAACGGAAAGUUAUAAAAAUAAUCCUCAUCACACUCCCGGGGAUGAGGUGGCUUCUGUACCGACUGUUUUCCGACAGUAAGUGAUGCUGGCUCAAAAGCAACAGCUCUACACAAAGUUUUUGGGUUAGAGUUUCCCCAGCUUAAUUCUGGAAUAGAGAAAGCCAAUUUCAUACAAAAAAAAAUCUGGAGAAGCUACAAAUGUUAACCUUUAAACAC